AGCUUGCUUCUCUUGAGAGCGGCGGACGGGUGAGUAAUGCCUAGGAAUCUGCCUGGUAGUGGGGGAUAACGUUCGGAAACGGACGCUAAUACCGCAUACGUCCUACGGGAGAAAGCAGGGGACCUUCGGGCCUUGCGCUAUCAGAUGAGCCUAGGUCGGAUUAGCUAGUUGGUGGGGUAAUGGCUCACCAAGGCGACGAUCCGUAACUGGUCUGAGAGGAUGAUCAGUCACACUGGAACUGAGACACGGUCCAGACUCCUACGGGAGGCAGCAGUGGGGAAUAUUGGACAAUGGGCGAAAGCCUGAUCCAGCCAUGCCGCGUGUGUGAAGAAGGUCUUCGGAUUGUAAAGCACUUUAAGUUGGGAGGAAGGGCAGUUGCCUAAUACGUAACUGUUUUGACGUUACCGACAGAAUAAGCACCGGCUAACUCUGUGCCAGCAGCCGCGGUAAUACAGAGGGUGCAAGCGUUAAUCGGAAUUACUGGGCGUAAAGCGCGCGUAGGUGGUUUGUUAAGUUGGAUGUGAAAUCCCCGGGCUCAACCUGGGAACUGCAUUCAAAACUGACUGACUAGAGUAUGGUAGAGGGUGGUGGAAUUUCCUGUGUAGCGGUGAAAUGCGUAGAUAUAGGAAGGAACACCAGUGGCGAAGGCGACCACCUGGACUGAUACUGACACUGAGGUGCGAAAGCGUGGGGAGCAAACAGGAUUAGAUACCCUGGUAGUCCACGCCGUAAACGAUGUCAACUAGCCGUUGGGAGCCUUGAGCUCUUAGUGGCGCAGCUAACGCAUUAAGUUGACCGCCUGGGGAGUACGGCCGCAAGGUUAAAACU
Molecule: ribosomal RNA, 828 nt
Filed under: Pseudomonas fluorescens
Lineage: Bacteria; Pseudomonadati; Pseudomonadota; Gammaproteobacteria; Pseudomonadales; Pseudomonadaceae
Description: bacterial SSU rRNA
Rfam family: Bacterial small subunit ribosomal RNA
Source: RNAcentral